RNAcentral lists this ribosomal RNA (506 nucleotides) under uncultured bacterium. RNAcentral describes it as "partial 16S ribosomal RNA". It matches the Rfam family "Bacterial small subunit ribosomal RNA", at positions 28 to 523 of the family's 1533-position model. The record is from RNAcentral.
GAUGAACGCUAGCGGCAGGCCUAACACAUGCAAGUCGAGGGGCAGCACAUAAAGUGGUUUACUACUUUUGGUGGCGACCGGCGGACGGGUGCGUAACGCGUAUGCAACCUGCCUCCAACAGGGGGAUAACGGAGAGAAAUUUCCACUAAUACCCCAUAAUAUCAGAAUCGGCAUCGGUUUUGGUUGAAAACUCCGGUGGUUGGAGAUGGGCAUGCGUUGUAUUAGAUAGUUGGUGAGGUAACGGCUCACCAAGUCAACGAUACAUAGGGGGACUAAGAGGUUAGCCCCCCACACUGGUACAGAGACACGCACCAGACUCAUACGGGAGGCAGCAGUGAGGAAUAUUGGUCAAUGGGGGCAACCCUGAACCAGCCAUGCCGCGUGCAGGAAGACGGCUCUAUAAGUUGUAAACUGCUUUUACAAGGGGAUAAAUCGGUGUACGUGUACACCGUUGAAGGUACCUUGGGAAUAAGGAUCGGCUAACUCCGUGCCAGCAGCCGCCGUAA